UUUCCGUAGGUGAACCUGCGGAAGGAUUAUUAUUGUAUAACCGAGGUGCGAGGGCUGUCGCUGACCCGAAAGGUCGUGCACGCCCGAGUGCCCUCACACACAUCCACCUCACCCCUAUGUGCACCACCGCGUGGGUCCCCCUUUGGCUUGUUCGGAGGGGGGCUUACGUUUUCACACAAACUUUGUAUGCAGUGUAGAAUGUAUUUUUUGUUUUUGCGAUCACGCAAUCAAUACAACUUUCAACAACGGAUCUCUUGGCUCUC
RNAcentral lists this unclassified non-coding RNA (263 nucleotides) under plant metagenome. RNAcentral's name for it is "partial contains small subunit ribosomal RNA, internal transcribed spacer 1, and 5.8S ribosomal RNA". The record is from RNAcentral.